UUGACCAUCAAAUCGAAUGGACGUCUGAAAAAAUCAUACGAUAAUAGAAAGUCGCUGCGAGAAUUCAUUCGCUGCAAAUCGGGGUUUGUGCGCGCAAAAAUAUCUUACAAAACAAUUGACAGAAAACAUUUAAUCACACCCAAAAGAAUAAGAAGAAUAAAGAAAUAGCUGAGAUAGAUGGUGAAACGAAAAAACACCUUCCGCCAUUACCUUUACCAACAAUCCAACACCAGUGGUAAACAAUUUACCGGCACCCGAGAUGAAACGGGAGUACUAAUACAUAACAUUAUAUACAUAAAUAAAUUUCGAAAAAUAAGCAAAGUUACACGUGUUACAAAAAAAUAGAUAAGAGCAUUUUGUUAAUGACUAAAACAAGAGAGCUACGCGCACAAGCCGAAUAACGCAACAGAAGCAACGGAAAACACAGCUAAACAAUUAAUAAAUAAAAAAAAAAUGAGUGAUUCUUACAUUUAAGCAUGCAGUCGAAACUUACAGCAACAAAUUUUUAAACAAAAAUGUUUCAUCAUCUAGUCGAAUCAUGAAUUUAAUUAAGCAGCAACUAUGAAAAAGCAGUGCUUUUCAUAUUAAAACAUACAUACUACAUAGUACAUAGGAUGUAGAUUUAUAAUUUGUAAAAAUAUCAAACAAACACAAAAUUCGCAGAUGGUCUAAACAGCGGCAACAUAUUUCGGAUAAGCGUAAAUCAAAAAAUUAAAAAAAAACAAAAAAAAAAAAAGUGAGAGUCAUUUCACAAGUCAAAUAUGAUAAAUCUCUAAAAUAAUCUCUACCGAUCUCUCCAAGCAAGUGAUGAGCUAAAUUAAAUGCAUUCCCGCACAGCACACCAUUGAAAGCCUCAUCAUUACAAGUACGCGCACAUACAUACAUACAAUCACUUACCAAAAGCCCAUCCAAAAAUCGAUGUCUUGCAAGAAACGGCAGCAACAAAAACCACUAUUAUCAUAUCAUCAAUACCACAGCGACAAAAGUGUUGGCGUCAGACAAAAAGCUUGCAACAAAGAUCGCGGUUGGCGAGCGCACACAAUCAACCAUUACCGGCAAAGAUAGUGAUCAUCAAAAGUCGUAUUAUAAUCGUUUAAAUUUAAGCUUUCCAUACCAAAGAUGGCGCACAAUCAUAGAGACAGAGAUAUUCACAACUACAACCAAAACCACAAUCGCAACGUUGAAAAUCUUAAUCAAAAUCCGGCAGCACGUGGCGCACCUGAAUAUUUCGAAAAUCUCUUCUUGAAUGGAAAUUUCGCAGCCAAUGAAGAUGAGGAAAUGCUGGAUGUAGCCGCGGCGGCGGCGGCAUUUGCACAGCACAACAACAACUUAGCCAAUAACGCCAAUGAUGAACCCUGCUGUUGGGUAUUUGGUUAUGGUUCGCUAUGCUGGUAUCCCGGCUUCGAAUAUUCCAAAUGCAUAACGGGCUAUAUAAAGGGUUUCGUGCGGCGUUUCUGGCAGGGUAACACCACACAUCGUGGCACUGAAGAUAAGCCCGGUCGCGUUGCAACACUCAUUGAAGACAAAGAGGUGAGUGAAAUUAAUGGCAUCACCUGGGGUUGUGCUUAUAAAAUUACCGGCAGCACAGCGUUGGAUUAUCUCAAACAACGCGAAUGCACGCUAGGCGGUUACGUUAUCCUCGAAACAAAGUUCUUCCCGCGUGUCGCUUCCUUUGAUACACCAUUCAGCGGCGAAGCCGUUCCUGUUUUAGUGUACGUUGCAACUUCUGAGAAUUGCCACUGGCUCGGCGAAGACACGCACGAUAAUAUAGCCGAACAGAUUGUGGAGUGCCGUGGACCAAGCGGGCAUAAUGUAGAGUAUUUGUUGCGUCUAGCCGAUUUUAUGCGUGAGGAAAUGCCCGAUGUUGUGGAUCAACAUCUAUUCGAAUUGGAGUUUCUUGUACUGGAAAAGUUACACCAACGUCAAAUACCUCUGUGGACUGUGAUGGGUGUGUCGCCGGAACGUAUACGUCGCGACUCGCACGAAGAAAUUAAACGGCCACCCACAUUCGAAUUCACAUCGCGCAUUCAGGAGCGAAAAUUGCGUUGCUUGAAUAUAUGAUUUGAGAUUGCAGGACGCGCUAGUGCCGAAUUCAAGGCGUUUGUAGCCCACAAUAAAGCUGGCUGUAAUCAAUUGUUGCUUUUAUGAUAUAAGUAUGUGUGCAUACAGAAAAAAUUUUAUCUUACAUAUGUAUGUGGCCUUGAGAGCCAAAGUAGCCUAACGUUAAACAAAAAAAAAUCGUUACAGCUUAAAAUGCAUGACUAGAAUCGAAACUGUAAUAGCCCGAUGCACGCCCUUUUAGUUUUAUUUUACUAUAUUUAAUAGGUAGCAUCAUGUAGGUACAAUAAACUUGUCAGUGGUUUAUAGAUCCUUCUUUCUCAUUUUACUGAAGAUUUUUUGUUUUGUAUAUGAGGCACAUUUGGUUCUCAUGGCCUCAUAAGUAAAUGCAUGUUCGUAUUGCUGAAUACGGCAAAUAACUUGGGUAAUGAUUGAAAAUUUAAUUUUAGUAAUGAGUGCUUUAGUUGGCUCUCAUUUCAAGAACAAUUGGCUUUCAAUGUAUGCAAUUGUAAUGUAUUUUUUUACUACGAUAAUAGUACACUAACAUUAAUACUUUUAGAUGUAAGAGGCAAAAGAGAACUAGAUCUACUGUAAGAUAUUGCUUCCGCGCACAAUAUCUUUAGAAUUGAUGUAUGUAAUUUUGAUAAUGGCGUGAAAUG
This is an RNA transcript of Rhagoletis zephyria (snowberry fruit fly), 2717 nucleotides long. It is a transcript of the gene named glutathione-specific gamma-glutamylcyclotransferase 1, with no coding region annotated. The record is from RefSeq and is a predicted model, not a curated record. Lineage: Eukaryota; Metazoa; Arthropoda; Insecta; Diptera; Tephritidae.